Molecule: ribosomal RNA, 253 nt
Filed under: uncultured bacterium
Lineage: Bacteria
Description: partial 16S ribosomal RNA
Rfam family: Bacterial small subunit ribosomal RNA
Source: RNAcentral
UACGUAGGGCGCAAGCGUUGUCCGGAAUUAUUGGGCGUAAAGAGCUCGUAGGCGGUUUGUUGCGUCGGCUGUGAAAUCCCGAGGCUCAACCUCGGGUCUGCAGUCGAUACGAGCAAACUAGAGUGUUGCAGGGGAGACUGGAAUUCCUGGUGUAGCGGUGAAAUGCGCAGAUAUCAGGAGGAACACCGGUGGCGAAGGCGGAUCUCUGGGCCGAUACUGACGCUGAGGAGCGAAAGCGUGGGGAGCGAACAGG